Molecule: ribosomal RNA, 230 nt
Filed under: uncultured microorganism
Description: partial 16S ribosomal RNA
Rfam family: Bacterial small subunit ribosomal RNA
Source: RNAcentral
UACGGAGGGGGCUAGCGUUGUUCGGAAUCAUUGGGCGUAAAGCGCGUGUAGGCGGCUUGGUAAGUCAGGUGUGAAAGCUCCGAGCUUAACUCGGAAAGUGCACUUGAAACUGCCAGGCUUGAGUCCCGGAGAGGAAGAUGGAAUCCCCAGUGUAGAGGUGAAAUUCGUAGAUAUUGGGAGGAACAUCGGUGGCGAAGGCGACCUUCUGGACGGUGACUGACGCUGAGACG